GCGUGGUUUCAACAGAAGUUCAAGCUGUUCAACUUUGAAUUGUUAAAGAUGUUCGCGAUGCCCCAAAAUAAUUCUUGUGGCGGCGCUAAAAUCAGCCAUCAGGGGUUGCAAGAUUGAGAAAAUUC
This is a long non-coding RNA of Dendronephthya gigantea, 125 nucleotides long. RefSeq lists it as uncharacterized. The transcript has 2 exons. Lineage: Eukaryota; Metazoa; Cnidaria; Anthozoa; Malacalcyonacea; Nephtheidae. The record is from RefSeq and is a predicted model, not a curated record.